CCUGAGAAACCCAAAAGAUCGAAUGGGGAGAUUCAUCGUCAGCGAUACUGGUACGUGUGCGGUUCGCGAUGUCGGGGACUUCGGUCUCGUGGCACGCGUCCGCAUGUUUUUAUUGCCUGGUGUCGUCGGCGUGCACUUCUCCCCUAGUAGGACGUCGCGACCCGUUGGGUGUCGGUCUACGGCCCGGGUGGGUGCCUGUCUCGUGUGCGCUUUACGGUGUCACUGCGGGGCAGACCCCCGGCUGCCCGACCGGCUGCCCGGCGGUACUCGCAAGGUAUCUGGCCGCAAAUAUUCGAACUGCGUCCGGCCCGUCGCAAGCGAGGCAAGUGUUUCCCGAAUGUACGGAUCUAAUGCCGUCAUCGGGCCUGGCCAGCUGUUGGUUGACGGUGUCCUAGGACAGGCUAUAACAAUUAUGAUACCGGUCGGCGACGCUACUGCUUUGGGUACUUUCAGGA
This 455-nucleotide ribosomal RNA is filed under the name Perithous divinator. RNAcentral describes it as "partial 28S ribosomal RNA". The record is from RNAcentral. Lineage: Eukaryota; Metazoa; Arthropoda; Insecta; Hymenoptera; Ichneumonidae.